This 253-nucleotide ribosomal RNA is filed under the name uncultured Fluviicola sp. RNAcentral's name for it is "partial 16S ribosomal RNA". It matches the Rfam family "Bacterial small subunit ribosomal RNA", at positions 524 to 776 of the family's 1533-position model. Lineage: Bacteria; Pseudomonadati; Bacteroidota; Flavobacteriia; Flavobacteriales; Crocinitomicaceae. The record is from RNAcentral.
UACGGAGGAUGCAAGCGUUAUCCGGAUUCAUUGGGUUUAAAGGGUGCGUAGGCGGGUCUAUAAGUCAGGGGUGAAAUCCGGCAGCUCAACUGUCGAACUGCCCUUGAUACUGUAGGUCUAGAGUUAAGUUGAGGCAGGCGGAAUAUGACAUGUAGCGGUGAAAUGCUUAGAUAUGUCAUAGAACACCGAUAGCGAAGGCAGCCUGCCAAACUUAUACUGACGCUGAUGCACGAAAGCGUGGGUAGCGAACAGG